RNAcentral lists this ribosomal RNA (494 nucleotides) under Bacillus pumilus. RNAcentral describes it as "bacterial SSU rRNA". It matches the Rfam family "Bacterial small subunit ribosomal RNA", at positions 50 to 528 of the family's 1533-position model. The record is from RNAcentral. Lineage: Bacteria; Bacillati; Bacillota; Bacilli; Caryophanales; Bacillaceae.
AAUACAUGCAGUCGAGCGGACAGAAGGGAGCUUGCUCCCGGAUGUUAGCGGCGGACGGGUGAGUAACACGUGGGUAACCUGCCUGUAAGACUGGGAUAACUCCGGGAAACCGGAGCUAAUACCGGAUAGUUCCUUGAACCGCAGGGUUCAAGGAUGAAAGACGGUUUCGGCUGUCACUUACAGAUGGACCCGCGGCGCAUUAGCUAGUUGGUGGGGUAAUGGCUCACCAAGGCGACGAUGCGUAGCCGACCUGAGAGGGUGAUCGGCCACACUGGGACUGAGACACGGCCCAGACUCCUACGGGAGGCAGCAGUAGGGAAUCUUCCGCAAUGGACGAAAGUCUGACGGAGCAACGCCGCGUGAGUGAUGAAGGUUUUCGGAUCGUAAAGCUCUGUUGUUAGGGAAGAACAAGUGCGAGAGUAACUGCUCGCACCUUGACGGUACCUAACCAGAAAGCCACGGCUAACUACGUGCCAGCAGCCGGUUUUAAAUAA